RNAcentral lists this ribosomal RNA (554 nucleotides) under uncultured bacterium. RNAcentral's name for it is "bacterial SSU rRNA". It matches the Rfam family "Bacterial small subunit ribosomal RNA", at positions 69 to 610 of the family's 1533-position model. The record is from RNAcentral.
CGAACCGGGGCUUGCCCCGGGGCAGAGCCGCGAACGGGUGAGUAACACGUGGGUAACCCACCUCGAUGAUUGGGACAACCCGGGGAAACUCGGGCUAAUACCAAAUGUGCUCGUAGACCAUGAGGUCCAUGAGGAAAGAUAGCUUCGGCCUUCGCAUCGAGACGGGCCCGCGGCCCAUUAGCUUGUUGGUGAGGUAACGGCUCACCAAGGCGACGAUGGGUAGCUGGUCUGAGAGGACGAUCAGCCACACUGGGACUGAGACACGGCCCAGACUCCUACGGGAGGCAGCAGUGGGGAAUCUUGCGCAAUGCGCGAAAGCGUGACGCANCAACGCCGCGUGGAGGAAGACGGUCUUCGGAUUGUAAACUCCUUUCAGUUGGGACGAAGCUCAACGGGUUAAUAGUCCGGCGGAGUGACGGUACCUUCAGAAGAAGCCCCGGCUAACUACGUGCCAGCAGCCGCGGUAAUACGUAGGGGGCUAGCGUUGUCCGGAAUCAUUGGGCGUAAAGCGCGUGUAGGCGGUCCGGUAAGUCCGCUGUGAAAGUCGGGGGCUC